CGUAGGUGAACCUGCGGAAGGAUCAUUAUUGUAUAACCGAGGUGCGAGGGCUGUCGCUGACCCGAAAGGUCGUGCACGCCCGAGUGCCCUCACACACAUCCAUCUCACCCCUAUGUGCACCACCGCGUGGGUCCCCCUUUGGCUUGUUCGGAGGGGGGCUUACGCUUUCACACAAACUUUGUAUGCAGUGUAGAAUGAAUUUUUUGUUUUUGCGAUCACGCAAUCAAUACAACUUUCAACAACGGAUCUCUUGGCUCUC
This 259-nucleotide unclassified non-coding RNA is filed under the name plant metagenome. RNAcentral's name for it is "partial contains small subunit ribosomal RNA, internal transcribed spacer 1, and 5.8S ribosomal RNA". The record is from RNAcentral.